Molecule: transfer RNA, 65 nt
Filed under: Dipodomys ordii (Ord's kangaroo rat)
Lineage: Eukaryota; Metazoa; Chordata; Mammalia; Rodentia; Heteromyidae
Rfam family: tRNA
About the family: Transfer RNA (tRNA) molecules are approximately 80 nucleotides in length. Their secondary structure includes four short double-helical elements and three loops (D, anti-codon, and T loops). Further hydrogen bonds mediate the characteristic L-shaped molecular structure. tRNAs have two regions of fundamental functional importance: the anti-codon, which is responsible for specific mRNA codon recognition, and the 3' end, to which the tRNAs corresponding amino acid is attached (by aminoacyl-tRNA synthetases). tRNAs cope with the degeneracy of the genetic code in two manners: having more than one tRNA (with a specific anti-codon) for a particular amino acid; and 'wobble' base-pairing, i.e. permitting non-standard base-pairing at the 3rd anti-codon position.
Source: Rfam by way of RNAcentral
GGUGGCUCAAUGGCAGAGUGUUUGCCUUGCAUGCAUGAGGCCCUGGGUUCGAUUCCUCAGCACCA